RNAcentral lists this ribosomal RNA (253 nucleotides) under uncultured bacterium. Its description in RNAcentral is "partial 16S ribosomal RNA". It matches the Rfam family "Bacterial small subunit ribosomal RNA", at positions 524 to 776 of the family's 1533-position model. The record is from RNAcentral.
UACGAAGGGUGCAAGCGUUAAUCGGAAUUACUGGGCGUAAAGCGUGCGCAGGCGGUGAUGUAAGACAGGUGUGAAAUCCCCGGGCUUAACCUGGGAACUGCAUUUGUGACUGCAUCGCUGGAGUGCGGCAGAGGGGGAUGGAAUUCCGCGUGUAGCAGUGAAAUGCGUAGAUAUGCGGAGGAACACCGAUGGCGAAGGCAAUCCCCUGGGCCUGCACUGACGCUCAUGCACGAAAGCGUGGGGAGCAAACAGG